Molecule: non-coding RNA, 110 nt
Organism: Acanthosepion pharaonis
Lineage: Eukaryota; Metazoa; Mollusca; Cephalopoda; Sepiida; Sepiidae
Source: the annotation of a GenBank genome assembly
CAGCAAUAUCACGUUGAAACUCCGUUUUCCGUAAGACCACCGACGUUAAGCAACGCUGAGAUUGCUCAGUACUUAGAUUAGUGACCGCUUGGGAAUAUCAGGUUCUGUCA